AUGCCACCAGUUCUGGAGAGUGAUAUGCAUAGCAGGGAAUAUCUUGCGGAACAGAAACGCAAGGGUGAGGUGUAUUUGAAGGAAAGAGAUGCAAGGAUUGCGGAACGCAAGGCUGCGGAGCGGCAGUCUCUUAAAGACAUACAAAGCUUAGCUCGUAGCCUUGUAUACCCUAGUGCCUCUAAUGCGCAACCGACACAAAAUACACGAGGUGCUGAUGAUCGCAGUGACUCCGAGUAUGAACCAGAUGCUGAAGAGGAGGCCCAUGUAGAGGAAGAGGAUUUGAGAGAUGAAGAGGAGGUCGCUGUUGCUAAGUCCAAAGCAAUGGCACCUGAAGGUUCUACCAUGCCAAAAACGAAAAAGCGUGUCAGAUCCAAAAAUAGUGCAGCUGCUACCUCAAGAAUAACAAGAUCUAGAGCUACCGCAACAACUCAGUCAAUUCAAGCUACAAACCAUCAAGAACAGUCUGCACCAAAUCCAACAAACACAUCACCUCACCUAACUUCUAAGGAUAGCAACUCGCUUGACGCUGAUUCAGGGCUUGUAAUGUAG
This 549-nucleotide ribosomal RNA is filed under the name Triticum aestivum (bread wheat). Its description in RNAcentral is "partial small subunit ribosomal RNA". The record is from RNAcentral. Lineage: Eukaryota; Viridiplantae; Streptophyta; Magnoliopsida; Poales; Poaceae.